RNAcentral lists this ribosomal RNA (438 nucleotides) under uncultured bacterium. RNAcentral's name for it is "bacterial SSU rRNA". It matches the Rfam family "Bacterial small subunit ribosomal RNA", at positions 954 to 1392 of the family's 1533-position model. The record is from RNAcentral.
AUGGGAACGCGAAGAACCUUACCUAGACUUGACAUCUCCUGAAUAGUGUAGAGAUACAUGAAGCCCUUCGGGGCAGGAAGACAGGUGGUGCAUGGUUGUCGUCAGCUCGUGUCGUGAGAUGUUGGGUUAAGUCCCGCAACGAGCGCAACCCCUAUUACUAGUUGCUACCAUUAAGUUGAGCACUCUAGUGAGACUGCCCGGGUUAACCGGGUAGGAAGGCGGGGAGUGACGUCAAAUCAUCAUGCCCCUUAUGUCUAGGGCAACACACGUGCUACAAUGGUGAGUACAGAUAGAUGCGAUACCGCAAGGUGGAGCCAAACUCUAAAACUCAUCCCAGUUCGGAUUGUAGGCUGCAACUCGCCUACAUGAAGUUGGAGUUGCUAGUAAUCGCGAAUCAGAAUGUCGCGGUGAAUACGUUCCCGGGUCUUGUACACACCG